GAAGGUGUGCUGUGAGGCAUGCUGGAGGUAUCAGAAGUGCGAAUGCUGACAUAAGUAACGAUAAAGCGGGUGAAAAGCCCGCUCGCCGGAAGACCAAGGGUUCCUGUUCAACGUUAAUCGGAGCAGGGUGAGUCGACCCCUAAGGCGAGGCCGAAAGGCGUAGUCGAUGGGAAACAGGUUAAUAUUCCUGUACUCGGUGUUACUGCGAAGGGGGGACGGAGAAGGCUAUAUCAGCCGGGCGACGGUUGUCCCGGUUUAAGCGUGUAGGUGGAGAGUCCAGGUAAAUCCGGUCUCUUGUUAACACUGAGGCGUGACGACGAGGCACUACGGUGCUGAAGUGAUAAAUGCCCAGCUUCCAGGAAAAGCCUCUAAGCAUCAGGUAACACAGAAUCGUACCCCAAACCGACACAGGUGGUCAGGUAGAGAAUACCAAGGCGCUUGAGAGAACUCGGGUGAAGGAACUAGGCAAAAUGGUGCCGUAACUUCGGGAGAAGGCACGCUGGCGCGUAGGUGGAGGGACCUGCUCCCCGAGCCGAAGCCAGUCGAAGAUACCAGCUGGCUGCAACUGUUUAUUAAAAACACAGCACUGUGCAAACACGAAAGUGGACGUAUACGGUGUGACGCCUGCCCGGUGCCGGAAGGUUAAUUGAUGGGGUUAUCCGCAAGGAGAAGCUCUUGAUCGAAGCCCCGGUAAACGGCGGCCGUAACUAUAACGGUCCUAAGGUAGCGAAAUUCCUUGUCGGGUAAGUUCCGACCUGCACGAAUGGCGUAAUGAUGGCCAGGCUGUCUCCACCCGAGACUCAGUGAAAUUGAACUCGCUGUGAAGAUGCAGUGUACCCGCGGCAAGACGGAAAGACCCCGUGAACCUUUACUACAGCUUGACACUGAACAUUGAGCCUUGAUGUGUAGGAUAGGUGGGAGGCUUUGAAGCGCGGACGCCAGUCUGCGUGGAGCCAACCUUGAAAUACCACCCUUUAAUGUUUGAUGUUCUAACGUAGGCCCGUGAUCCGGGCUGCGGACAGUGUCUGGUGGGUAGUUUGACUGGGGCGGUCUCCUCCUAAAGAGUAACGGAGGAGCACGAAGGUCAGCUAAUCACGGUCGGACAUCGUGAGGUUAGUGCAAUGGCAUAAGCUGGCUUGACUGCGAGAGUGACGGCUCGAGCAGGUGCGAAAGCAGGUCAUAGUGAUCCGGUGGUUCUGAAUGGAAGGGCCAUCGCUCAACGGAUAAAAGGUACUCCGGGGAUAACAGGCUGAUACCGCCCAAGAGUUCAUAUCGACGGCGGUGUUUGGCACCUCGAUGUCGGCUCAUCACAUCCUGGGGCUGAAGUAGGUCCCAAGGGUACGGCUGUUCGCCGUUUAAAGUGGUACGCGAGCUGGGUUUAGAACGUCGUGAGACAGUUCGGUCCCUAUCUGCCGUGGGCGCUGGAGAAUUGAGGGGGGUUGCUCCUAGUACGAGAGGACCGGAGUGAACGCACCACUGGUGUUCGGGUUGUCAUGCCAAUGGCAUUGCCCGGUAGCUAAGUGCGGAAAAGAUAAGUGCUGAAAGCAUCUAAGCACGAAACUUGCCCCGAGAUGAGUUCUCCCUGACUCCUUGAGAGUCCUGAAGGGACGUUGAAGACGACGACGUUGAUAGGCCGGGUGUGUAAGCGCAGCGAUGCGUUGAGCUAACCGGUACUAAUGACCCGUGAGGCUUAACCUU
RNAcentral lists this ribosomal RNA (1698 nucleotides) under Pantoea sp. GD03673. RNAcentral describes it as "partial 23S ribosomal RNA". It matches the Rfam family "Bacterial large subunit ribosomal RNA", at positions 1252 to 2925 of the family's 2925-position model. The record is from RNAcentral. Lineage: Bacteria; Pseudomonadati; Pseudomonadota; Gammaproteobacteria; Enterobacterales; Erwiniaceae.